GGCACUGCUUCCGGGCCCCGAGCCCUGUGAAUCAGACACCAGCAGGGACAGGCCCGACGGCCAGGUCCUCAGGGCUGCCAUGAUCUCUGCAGCUGCCCACCACCCCUACGGGGGCCCACCGCAGGUUGAGAACCGGGGUCCCGGGCAUUCCAAGGGCCCCUAGUUUACCUCCCAGGAGCCAGUUCUGUUCUAGCUUCAUAAAACGCCCUGGGCCGCUUCCCUGGUUUGCUCGUUUUCUGGAACAGCUCACAUAUCACAUGGACGACCUGGUGCCCGGGGCUUGGCGUGUGGAACCUGGUCUCACUCUGUCACGCAGGCUGGAGAGCAACGGCGUC
Long non-coding RNA from Lemur catta (Ring-tailed lemur), 335 nucleotides. RefSeq lists it as uncharacterized. The transcript has 3 exons. Lineage: Eukaryota; Metazoa; Chordata; Mammalia; Primates; Lemuridae. The record is from RefSeq and is a predicted model, not a curated record.